AGUUUACAACUCCCAAACCCAAUGUGAACGUUACCAAACUGUUGCCUCGGCGGGAUCUCUGCCCCGGGUGCGUCGCAGCCCCGGACCAAGGCGCCCGCCGGAGGACCAACCAAAACUCUUAUUGUAUACCCCCUCGCGGGUUUUUUUAUAAUCUGAGCCUUCUCGGCGCCUCUCGUAGGCGUUUCGAAAAUGAAUCAAAACUUUCAACAACGGAUCUCUUGGUUCUGGCAUCGAUGAAGAACGCAGCGAAAUGCGAUAAGUAAUGUGAAUUGCAGAAUUCAGUGAAUCAUCGAAUCUUUGAACGCACAUUGCGCCCGCCAGUAUUCUGGCGGGCAUGCCUGUCCGAGCGUCAUUUCAACCCUCGAACCCCUCCGGGGGGUCGGCGUUGGGGAUCGGCCCUCCCUUAGCGGGUGGCCGUCUCCGAAAUACAGUGGCGGUCUCGCCGCAGCCUCUCCUGCGCAGUAGUUUGCACACUCGCAUCGGGAGCGCGGCGCGUCCACAGCCGUUAAACACCCAACUUCUGAAAUGUUGACCUCGGAUCAGGUAGGAAUACCCGCUGAACUUAAGCAUAUCAAUAAGCGGAGGAAAAGAAACCAACAGGGAUUGCCCCAGUAACGGCGAGUGAAGCGGCAACAGCUCAAAUUUGAAAUCUGGUCCCUAGGGCCCGAGUUGUAAUUUGUAGAGGAUGCUUUUGGUGAGGUGCCGCCCGAGUUNNCUGGAACGGGACGCCACAGAGGGUGAGAGCCCCGUCUGGCUGNNGCCGAGCCUCUGUAAAGCUCCUUCGACGAGUCGAGUAGUUUGGGAAUGCUGCUCAAAAUGGGAGGUAUAUGUCUUCUAAAG
Molecule: ribosomal RNA, 840 nt
Filed under: fungal endophyte
Lineage: Eukaryota; Fungi
Description: eukaryotic LSU rRNA
Rfam family: Eukaryotic large subunit ribosomal RNA (bases 530-840)
Source: RNAcentral